Long non-coding RNA from Bolinopsis microptera, 287 nucleotides. RefSeq lists it as uncharacterized. NCBI's taxonomy places the organism in Eukaryota, Metazoa, Ctenophora, Tentaculata, Lobata, Bolinopsidae. The record is from RefSeq and is a predicted model, not a curated record. The transcript is spliced from 3 exons.
AAAAUGACAAGUUCAAUCUGUGUGGUCCUCUGUUUAGCCCUGGCAACAGUGGAGAUAACUGCAGCUGUGGAACUAGAAGGAAAACGGCAACGGCCUGACAGUGACACUGAGGCAGCUGAGGACUUAAAAGAUCUCCUCUACUCCUCAAUGCAUAACAUUGUCUCUCUGAACGACCUCGUGACAGAACUUUCUGAAAAGAUUGCUAAACUCACUAUAUCGUCCGCAGAAAACACGGCUGAAAUGAAGCUAUCAAAGGCGGAGACGACUCUAUCAAGGGCAGCACGAUC